UUUACUUAUGAUUGUCUGAUGAUUUUUCUACCAUCCUAAUGAUUUGUCUACCAUCUUUCUUUGUAGAGAGAUGCAGAGUUGUUAAUAAUGGGCUGCUUUUCCUUUAGAAGGUGUCUUCUGAGUGAGUAAGCCUUAAGUAGUGGAAAGAUUUUCUGUGCUUCAAAGGAAGGAUUUUAUUCAAGCAGAUGACAUCUUUCAAAUCAGAAGCAGCAUUUUAAGUUCAAGUGCUACAUUUUGGUCUGAAGCAGGUGAUUACUUUUAUAAAUCAGCUGUAAAAGUUUCAGAGACGUUGCGUGCAGCUGGCAGAUGUGACACGGCAUCCACGGGUGCAGCCAGGUGUGAUGCCUGAGGUAUCUGAAACCACACAGAACUCCUGUGUCUAGACAGCUGGAUUGUCCCCUGGUGACCACACUGAGGGGGAUUCAUCUGCCUCAUAAAGGUAUCCAAGAAUUAUUAUUCCUGUGUUGAA
RNAcentral lists this long non-coding RNA (469 nucleotides) under Manacus vitellinus (golden-collared manakin). RNAcentral's name for it is "lncRNA (ENSMVIG00005002087.1)". Lineage: Eukaryota; Metazoa; Chordata; Aves; Passeriformes; Pipridae. The record is from RNAcentral.